CCCUCUCUGGCCGGCCGGCGGGCCCGGAUUGAUUUCUGGCAUCCCGGCCACCGCGGGAACUUGAACCCCAGAGAGCUAAAGCGCCAUGACCUUUGGGGGGUGGUGCGCAAGGUCAGGCCAGGCCUCCUGGGCUUUCCUGCCUCCUGAAUUCAAGCAUUUGCACCUUUGUCACUGCGCAGAGGCCAGAAGGUGGAGGUUGUUGUGCAUGCCACCCCCAAACGCAGGUACCGGUACCCCUGUACCCCACCCCACCAAGCCCUAGUCCUCAGCCUGUUCCAGAUGAGAGAGGCCCAAAGUGUCCCAGCCAGGGAGGGACAGCCCAGGCUCCAGAGCCCAGCCUUGCCUCCAGAGGCCUGAUCUGGAAGGAGUUGACCCCAGAGAGCUAUGUGUUCUCAGCUAGAUGGAAACAGCCCUCGGUCUCACUUUGGAAGGCAAGGUGGAGAGACUCUAGUGGCAACAGUCUGGCAGCCGGUCCUGCAUCAGGGAGGCAGGCACCUCUUUCUGUCUCCUAUACAGAAAAGGGGGGAUUUAACCGGGGGGGGGGGGGGGGGUAUGCCUCUUAUUUUUAAAAAAAAACCUUUUUGGGGGGGUCCCGGGGGAAGUGAGUUUUACAGGAUGACCAUUACACAAAAGUGGACAUAGCCCAAGCUGCACAUGUGGCCAAUUCCCAGGCGGAGAAACAGCACCAGGCAGUCCUCGCCUCGCUUGUGAAGCCCUGGGUUCCGGAACCGUCUGGGCGCUACUGAUAGGGCUUGCCUGUAAUCCUAGCGCUCAGGAAGCAGAGGCAGGAGGAUCAGAGUUCAAGGUCAUUCACGCCUACAUAGCAAAUCUGAGGCUACCUGGACUACAUGAAUCCCUGCUUCAAAAAAAAAAAAAAACUAAAACAAAAAACCCUCCAAUCAGCUCCCACCAACACCAGAAGACCCUCCCACUGACACCCGCAAGGGCACGCCCCCUCGCAGCCAGCCCUCUAGCCCUAUCGGCUGCUACGGUUUAGGACCAGCCCACUUGUGACCUGGAGGUACUUUUGCGCAGAGUCCUGUCUGUGAGGUCUAGCCAUGCCGUCUUCGGCAGUCCCGGGCCACUCGUGUAGGCCACUUGUCUUCCUGGGAACUUGUCCCUGUGUGACUCUCAUAAUUUAGCCACCCAUUUUACUGUUGACGGACGUUGGGGUGGGUUCCAGUGCCUGGCAACAGUGCAGGGCAUCACUGGGCCUACUCCAGCCUCUGCCCGAGAACCCACAGAAGAGAUAGGUCUCUCCAGCUCAGGGAGCCGACUUCUCACCAACAUGGUGACAGAACGGCCCAAUGUUGGUUUUCGUCUUUCAUUCUAAAAAGAGAGUUUACCUCCUUUUUUUAAUGGAAAAUACAGAAAUGUAAAAGGGAAAGGAAAGUCACUAUUACUACUAUUUAAAAGGCAUUCAUUCGGCCAGCCAGUCAGUGGCUGUUUUCCUGAAUCUCUUGUAGGUCAGACUCUGGACAGAGAAAGCUUGUUUCUCCCUCAGGUGGCCUGGAGGCUGGGCCUGAGUCUAGCCAGCAGUGGCAUCUUCCAGGCACCCUCAGCAUGCUCCAGAACCUCCAUCACGGCCCCUUCUCCCCACACCCCACACCCCACAGCCUCCAUCUUGCAUCCAGGCCAAGACGACAGGGCUCACAGUGCACCUACAACUCAAGGCAGGGCCCCAGGCCUUGGGCCAGCCAGCACCCUAGGAUCCAACACUGGUUAUCCCAAUGGCCUGACAGUUUAUCACAACUGGGAGAGGGGUGAGAGAGGCAGUAGGCAGGAGUCAAGGGUUGCUGCAGGAUGUGGGGAUGAGAGUCAGUCCUCUGGUGGGGAAAGCCUAGGUGGGAAGCCUCAGAGGCCCGGCCUUUGCUCUCCAUCCCAAGAGUUAAAGAGAAUGGGGCUUCUAUUUGCUUAUUGCAGUGCGAGACAUUGAACCUGGGGCCUCACACAGAUAAGGCAGUCACUCUGCGUGGGAGCUCUCUGGAUACUUUUAGAAACAGGAGACAAGAAGAACAAAGGCCCACAGUGGAACCGGUGGUGGAGAUUUCUGCCUUACAGAGGGUGCCCAGGGGCCAGAGGAAUUGGAUCUGCUGGGAGUUGGAGUUACAGAUGGUUGUGGGCCAGCUGAUGUGGUUGUUGAGAAUUGAACUCAAGUCUGAAAGAAAACAGUGCGUGCUCUUGACUGCCCGGCCAUCCCUCCAGCACCCCUGGAGCCUCUCCUCCCAUCUGAGCCCAGCCAGCAUGGGAACUCACUGGAUGCUCGCAAUAGCAUCUCCUUCCAUCUUUUCCUUCCAUUCCUAGCAUGGCCAGAGCAGUUUUAUCAAGAUGUGAGUCAGCUCAUGCCUGGUUCCCCUGUCCUGAGGAAAAGCUGAAGUUUUGGUGAUGGCGUUUUACCGUAUCUACCUGCCCCACCUCAUCUCCUACACUGAUCAUUUGGUUCAGCUACUGGCUUUGUUCUCUGAUUACACAACCCAUGCCUCAGGACCUUUGCACUGGCUGUUUCCACUUCUUGGAGCCUCCUUCCCCCAAGUAUCUCCAUGCUUUGCUCCUCCCCUUCCUCACGUCUUCAUCCGGGUUCUGCCUUAUCCAGGAGCCUUCCCCAUGACCUCCGUGUUGAAAACUGAAGAUCACGCCCUGUGCCCAGAUCUUGCUUUCUAAUACCGUCCUGUAAUGAAGGGACCCACGGAUUCUUGGAGAAAUAGCUGCUUCUCGGAUAGGGUGGGAAAUACGCAGGAUGAGGCUGGACUCUCUCAAAGCAUCCCAAAGGAAAGACUGGAGGACAAGAGCCACCCAAAUGUGGGUGUGGCCGACAGCGCUGGAGCAGCUGCGCGCACGGCACAGCAAACAGGGCUGGAUGAUAGCCCAGUGGCAAAACACAUUCAAGUUUAUUUUAUUUUGUUUUACUUUAUUUAUUUUUGUAUUUUGAGACAGGAUUUUAUGUAGUCCUGGCUGGCUUUGAACUCACUGCAUAUAACUGAGGAUGACGUUAAACUCCUGAUUUUCCCGCCUUCACCUCUGAAAUGUUGGGGUUAUAGAGGUGUUCCUACCAUACCCAGCUCUCAGCAGGCAAAUUCUGAUUUAAGGACAUCUACAAAAUACCUGACCGGGAUCCCUUCAAACCACUAGAGUCAACAAAAAACACGGGAUGUGUGAGGGGUGCUGUGGCCAAGAGAAGCUUCUAGAGGGAAGACAAUGAGCUGGAAUGUGGUAUGUGAAGGGCUCCUGGGACAGAAAGGGCUUAGAGGAACAAAGGAAGUCUGGUAAAACAACUGCCGAAAUUUCUACGGAUAAUAAUUACCAUGGGGUGUGGUGAUACUGCAACCCUAACACUCGGGAGGCUGAGGCUGAAGGAUGGUGAGUUUGAGAUCAGCUUGGGUUCCAUAGAUUCUGGCUCAAAAGGAAAAAAAAAUCAUUCAUGCAGUAAAUGCAAGAUGUCACCGACAGAGAAAGUGAUGGGGAAGGGACAUCAAACUGAGCAGAGUGGAGCACACAAGUAAUCCAGCGCUCAAGAGGCAUAAGCCAGGAGAUCAUGAGUUUGAGGCCAGCCUGGGCUAUGUAGUGAGAGCCCUUCUCAACAUAAAUAAAUAAAUAAGAGGCAGCUGGAUGACUCAGGGCAAAGCAUUUAUGACAGCCUGGCAGACUGAGUUCCUUCCCUGGAGCCCAUGUAAAGCUGCAGGGAGAGAAUGAGCUCUGUCAGAGUUGCUCUCUGACCCCUCACAGGCAACCCAAGGAGUGGGCAUGUUCCUUGUGCAGCAUGCGCACGUACGGUAAUCAUGAUCCAGAAAGCAACCAUUUUAGAAGCAGGUAAAAAAAUAAAAAUAAAAAACCAGAAAGAAAAUAAUAUCACCCAAGCUGCCAUGCCCCUCCCUGGCUUUUCCUUUUCAGACCUUUCACCGUUUACUCUGCCGUACAUUGACCUCACAAAUUCUAGGACCUGUAACCCCCUUUGAGUCCAGGAUUUAAAGUCUCUAAAGGUGUCUGCCUGUCCACUGCUUGUGCCCAGAACUUCGGUCUGACAGUAAAUAUUUGUUGAAUGACAAAUUCCCACAGAUAGUCUGUUAAGCUUUUCCAAGUGCCCCCUGUGCCUGAAUACGUUUUCUAUUGUUGCCAAAUAAACACAAGAUUAUGUAUGUGCA
This is a long non-coding RNA of Psammomys obesus (fat sand rat), 4139 nucleotides long. RefSeq lists it as uncharacterized. NCBI's taxonomy places the organism in Eukaryota, Metazoa, Chordata, Mammalia, Rodentia, Muridae. The record is from RefSeq and is a predicted model, not a curated record. The transcript is spliced from 3 exons.